UACGGGGGGAGCAAGCGUUGUUCGGAUUUACUGGGCGUAAAGGGCGCGUAGGCGGCCAGCACAAGUCAGUUGUGAAAUCUCCGAGCUUAACUCGGAAAGGUCAACUGAUACUGUGCGGCUAGAGUGCAGAAGGGGCAACUGGAAUUCUUGGUGUAGCGGUGAAAUGCGUAGAUAUCAAGAGGAACACCGGCGGCGAAGGCGGGUUGCUGGGCUGACACUGACGCUGAGGCGCGAAAGCUAGGGGAGCGAACGGG
This 254-nucleotide ribosomal RNA is filed under the name uncultured bacterium. RNAcentral's name for it is "partial 16S ribosomal RNA". It matches the Rfam family "Bacterial small subunit ribosomal RNA", at positions 524 to 776 of the family's 1533-position model. The record is from RNAcentral.